Small nucleolar RNA from Neoarius graeffei (lesser salmon catfish), 213 nucleotides. RefSeq annotates it as small nucleolar RNA U3. NCBI's taxonomy places the organism in Eukaryota, Metazoa, Chordata, Actinopteri, Siluriformes, Ariidae. The record is from RefSeq and is a predicted model, not a curated record. The transcript has a single exon.
GUGACCGUGCUAACCACCGCACCACCAUGCCACCCUGUGAUUUGGAGGUGUUAUGUUUCUCUAAUCACAGUGAUGAGUUAUGACAUGAUGUACUCUUCUGAGCAUGAAUCAGGAUUUAGCUUAUGAUUUUCUUUCAUUGGCUUUAAUCAUUCAUGAUUGUUUGUUUUUUGCUUCUUAUGAAGCAUGAAAGCAAGAGUACAUGAUCUGAGUGAU